CCUACGGGGGGCAGCAGUGGGGAAUAUUGCACAAUGGGCGAAAGCCUGAUGCAGCGACGCCGCGUGAGCGAAGAAGGCCUUCGGGUCGUAAAGCUCUGUCCUAAGGGAAGAAAAGGACGGUACCUUAGGAGGAAGCCCCGGCUAACUACGUGCCAGCAGCCGCGGUAAUACGUAGGGGGCGAGCGUUAUCCGGAAUUACUGGGCGUAAAGGGUGCGUAGGCGGCCUUUUAAGUCAGAUGUGAAAGGCUACGGCUUAAACGUAGUUAGCAUUUGAAACUAGAAGGCUUGAGUGCAGGAGAGGGGAAUGGAAAUCCCUGUGUAGGGGUGAAAUGCGGAAAUAUUAGGAGGAACCCCAGGGGCGGAGGCGGCUCUCUCGACUGCAACUGAACCUGAAGGCCGAAAGGGUGGGGAGCGAACAGGAUUAGAUACCCCUGUAGUC
Molecule: ribosomal RNA, 439 nt
Filed under: uncultured bacterium
Lineage: Bacteria
Description: bacterial SSU rRNA
Rfam family: Bacterial small subunit ribosomal RNA
Source: RNAcentral